Molecule: long non-coding RNA, 585 nt
Filed under: Rhinopithecus roxellana (golden snub-nosed monkey)
Lineage: Eukaryota; Metazoa; Chordata; Mammalia; Primates; Cercopithecidae
Description: lncRNA (ENSRROG00000046020.1)
Source: RNAcentral
CCGACAUGGAAUGUUUACAUCAUUGCAGAAAGUUCUUACAGGAAGACUCUAGAAGGAGAAAGCCUAGAAUCAUGAUAAAAUUGCAGAUAUCUUUCCUUAUCCCUUGUCCUCUUCCAGGUCUGUCCCCAACAGCCACCACACGGGGGUGGAUUCCCUGUGUAACUUCUCGCCACUGGCUCGGAGAGUAGACAGAGUUGCCAUCUAUGAGGAAUUCCUGCGGAUGACCCGGAAUGGGAGCCAGCUGCAGAACUUCACCCUGGACAGGAGCAGUGUCCUUGUGGAUGGGUAUUCUCCCAACAGAAAUGAGCCCUUAACUGGGAAUUCUGACCUUCCCUUCUGGGCCAUCAUCCUCAUCUGCUUGGCAGUACUCCUGGGACUCAUCACAUGCCUGAUCUCCGGCUUCCUGGCGACCACUCGCCGGCGGAAGAAGGAAAGAGAAUACAGCUUCCGGCAACAGUGCCCAGGCUACUACCAGUCACACCUAGACCUGGAGGAUCUGCAAUGACUGGAACUUGCCGGUGCUCGGGGUCCCUUUUCCCCAGCCAGGGUCCAAAGAAGCUUGGCUGGGGCAGAAAUAAACCAUAU